Molecule: long non-coding RNA, 1265 nt
Filed under: Chrysemys picta bellii (western painted turtle)
Lineage: Eukaryota; Metazoa; Chordata; Testudines; Emydidae
Description: lncRNA (ENSCPBG00000014407.1)
Source: RNAcentral
CGUGUGAAUAAAACCUUUAAAACACACCAUUAUAUAUUUCCAACAUAGUGUGUGUGAUGAUUAGACAAUUGUUUGAACACUAUAAUCAAUUGAAACGUGCUCAUUACCAGCUUCUAGGAAACCAUGAUUUUUAAAAAAAUAAAAUAUAUCCAGCAGCUUUCAUAAAAUGAACUGUGUAGUCUUAUAGUAUGCAAAAAACUUCACAAACCAAAUGACUCUAUCAUUUUAUUUAAAUGUGUACAGUAGUGUUGCUGUAGUCUUAAUCAUGUUUUUUUUUAAAUAUAGUGCAGAAUUCCCACACAUGAGGCAAAUCUGGUGUACAAAUAUGGAGUUUGAUGUCAAUAUGCAAAGACUUUAUUGCUUUUCUAAUUGCGAUCUCUUCUGCUAUGAUACCAAAGGGAAUAUACUGUUUCAGCUAACCAGUGCCCACCAAAGUACCAUUCUCUCCUGCGUCUAUUCAUCAUACUCCAAUGCUUUGCUUACCUCCUCCAGGGACUCUGAAAUAAAAUCUUGGAAUGACCAGGGCUGUUUGUUGCAUGUGUUUCAUGGCCAUACCAGGUCUGUCACACACAUCCUCCUCCACCCAAACACUUUGUCUUUAUUUAUCUCUGGAUCUUUGGAUGGGACAGUGAAACUCUGGUCCCUGGAUACAAUGGAGCUGUUUUACAGUUUAUCAUUGUUCACUGAAGGAAUUGUUUGGAUGGGCCUGACUGAGGAUAAGUUGCUGUACUGCUCUUCUGCCCGCAAUCUUCAUGUGUAUGACUUGAACAAUUUUACCAAAUUCUGGACUCGUGUCAGCAGUCAGAUUAAGGCUCUGUCCCUCUGUGGUGCCAAUGGGAAAUCCAGCAGGGUGAUAGCUAUGGGCUCUGAUAACAGUUUACGAAUUUUCUCUCUGCAUAAUGGGACAAAGUUAUGUACCGUGCUGCCGCCUCCCUAUCCCUCUCCACUCCAGUCAGUUCUCGGCUUUGCCUAUAAUCGAACCAGUGGAACAAUUUACUUCCUCCUGACUUCUUGGGAUAUAUGGGUCUACACAGCAAGUGUUCAAGGCAUAGGGUAUGGAUUCCAUGUCGGCCAGGGAUGGCAAGAGGCCAUCGCCUCCCUGAGAGUGGAGCUGCUUAGUCCUCUGUCUGUCCAUUUCAGUUGUGACCUAUAGUACUGCCACUCCAUUCCUGAACCUAUCUGGAGUGAUACUUAAACUAGACUUGUGGUGGAAGGGGAUUGUGCUGUGGGAAAACAUUCACCUAAUACAAGUACUAUAAUGCAAU